RNAcentral lists this ribosomal RNA (332 nucleotides) under uncultured bacterium. RNAcentral's name for it is "bacterial SSU rRNA". It matches the Rfam family "Bacterial small subunit ribosomal RNA", at positions 568 to 898 of the family's 1533-position model. The record is from RNAcentral.
CGUGUAGGCGGUCAGUCAAGUCCGGUGUGAAAGCCCGGGGCUCAGCUCCGGAAGUGCAUCGGAAACUAGCCGACUUGAGCGCGAUAGAGGAGGGUGGAAUUCCUGGUGUAGCGGUGAAAUGCGUAGAUAUCAGGAGGAACACCGGCGGCGAAGGCGGCCCUCUGGAUCGUUGCUGACGCUGAGACGCGAAAGCGUGGGGAGCAAACAGGAUUAGAUACCCUGGUAGUCCACGCUGUAAACGAUGGGUACUAGGUGUUCGGGGUGUUGACCCCCUGAGUGCCGACGCUAACGCAUUAAGUACCCCGCCUGGGGACUACGGCCGCAAGGCUAAA